GNAUUUAUUGGGCGUAAAGCGAGCGCAGGCGGUUAGAUAAGUNUGAAGUUAAAGGCUGUGGCUUAACCAUAGUACGCUUNGGAAACUGUUUAACUUGAGUGCAGAAGGGGAGAGUGGAAUUCCAUGUGUAGCGGUGAAAUGCGUAGAUAUAUGGAGGANCACCGGUGGCGAAAGCGGCUCUCUGGUCUGUAACUGACGCUGAGGCUCGAAAGCGUGGGGAGCGAACAGGAUUAGAUACCUUGGUAGUCCACGCCGUAAACGAUGAGUGCUAGGUGUUAGGCCCUUUCCGGGGCUUAGUGCCGCAGCUAACGCAUUAAGCACUCCGCCUGGGGAGUACGACCGCAAGGUUGAAACUCAAAGGAAUUGACGGGGGCCCGCACAAGCGGUGGAGCAUGUGGUUUAAUUCGAAGCAACGCGAAGAACCUUACCAGGUCUUGACAUCCCGAUGCCCGCUCUAGAGAUAGAGUUUUACUUCGGUACAUCGGUGACAGGUGGUGCAUGGUUGUCGUCAGCUCGUGUCGUGAGAUGUUGGGUUAAGUCCCGCAACGAGCGCAACCCUUAUUGUUAGUUGCCAUCAUUCAGUUGGGCACUCUAGCGAGACUGCCGGUAAUAAACCGGAGGAAGGUGGGGAUGACGUCAAAUCAUCAUGCCCCUUAUGACCUGGGCUACACACGUGCUACAAUGGCUGGUACAACGAGUCGCAAGUCGGUGACGGCAAGCUAAUCGCUUAAAGCCAGUCUCAGUUCGGAUUGUAGGCUGCAACUCGCCUACAUGAAGUCGGAAUCGCUAGUAAUCGCGGAUCAGCACGCCGCGGUGAAUACGUUCCCGGGCCUUGUNCAC
RNAcentral lists this ribosomal RNA (840 nucleotides) under uncultured bacterium. Its description in RNAcentral is "bacterial SSU rRNA". It matches the Rfam family "Bacterial small subunit ribosomal RNA", at positions 547 to 1388 of the family's 1533-position model. The record is from RNAcentral.